This 440-nucleotide ribosomal RNA is filed under the name uncultured bacterium. Its description in RNAcentral is "partial 16S ribosomal RNA". It matches the Rfam family "Bacterial small subunit ribosomal RNA", at positions 338 to 795 of the family's 1533-position model. The record is from RNAcentral.
CCUACGGGGUGCAGCAGUGGGGGAUAUUGCACAAUGGGGGGAACCCUGAUGCAGCGACGCCGCGUGGGUGAAGAAGCGCCUCGGCGCGUAAAGCCCUGUCAGCAGGGAAGAAAAUGACGGUACCUGCAGAAGAAGCCCCGGCUAACUACGUGCCAGCAGCCGCGGUAAUACGUAGGGGGCAAGCGUUAUCCGGAUUUACUGGGUGUAAGGGGGGCGCAGACGGCGAUGCAAGCCAGGAGUGAAAGCCCGGGGCCCAACCCCGGGACUGCUCUUGGAACUGCGGGGCUGGAGUGCAGGAGGGGCAGGCGGAAUUCCUGGUGUAGCGGUGAAAUGCGUAGAUAUCAGGAGGAACACCGGUGGCGAAGGCGGCCUGCUGGACUGCAACUGACGUUGAGGCCCGAAAGCGUGGGGAGCAAACAGGAUUAGAUACCCCAGUAGUC